ACACCCUCAAGCUCUGCUUGGUGUUGGGCGUCUGUCCCGCCUCCGUGCGCGGACUCGCCUCAAAGUCAUUGGCAGCGGUCUCGUCGGCUUCUCGCGCAGCACAUUUGCGCUUCUCGGAGCCCCGGCGGAUCAGCGUCCAGCAAGCAAUUUCAUGAC
RNAcentral lists this unclassified non-coding RNA (156 nucleotides) under uncultured Periconia. RNAcentral's name for it is "sequence contains ITS2". Lineage: Eukaryota; Fungi; Ascomycota; Sordariomycetes; Microascales; Halosphaeriaceae. The record is from RNAcentral.